Molecule: ribosomal RNA, 548 nt
Filed under: uncultured Enterobacter sp.
Lineage: Bacteria; Pseudomonadati; Pseudomonadota; Gammaproteobacteria; Enterobacterales; Enterobacteriaceae
Description: bacterial SSU rRNA
Rfam family: Bacterial small subunit ribosomal RNA
Source: RNAcentral
CGCACAAGCGGUGGAGCAUGUGGUUUAAUUCGAUGCAACGCGAAGAACCUUACCUGGUCUUGACAUCCACGGAAGUUUCCAGAGAUGGGAAUGUGCCUUCGGGAACUGUGAGACAGGUGCUGCAUGGCUGUCGUCAGCUCGUGUUGUGAAAUGUUGGGUUAAGUCCCGCAACGAGCGCAACCCUUAUCCUUUGUUGCCAGCGGUCCGGCCGGGAACUCAAAGGAGACUGCCAGUGAUAAACUGGAGGAAGGUGGGGAUGACGUCAAGUCAUCAUGGCCCUUACGACCAGGGCUACACACGUGCUACAAUGGCGCAUACAAAGAGAAGCGACCUCGCGAGAGCAAGCGGACCUCAUAAAGUGCGUCGUAGCCCGGAUUGGAGUCUGCAACUCGACUCCAUGAAGUCGGAAUCGCUAGUAAUCGUGAAUCAGAAUGUCACGGUGAAUACGUUCCCGGGCCUUGUACACACCGCCCGUCACACCAUGGGAGUGGGUUGCAAAAGAAGUAGGUAGCUAACCUUCGGGAGGCGCUACCACUUUAUCNNNUGGG